GUGUCAGCAGCCGCGGUAAUACGGAGGGAGCAAGCGUUACUCGGAAUUAUUGGGCGUAAAGGGCGCGUAGGCGAUCUGACAAGUCUGGUGUGAAAGCCCACAUGUUAACUGUGGAAGUGCAUUAGAAACUGUUGGAUUUGAGUUCAGGAGAGGAAGGCAGAAUUCCCGGUGUAGCGGUGAAAUGCGUAGAGAUCGGGAGGAAUACCAGUGGCGAAGGCGGCCUUCUGGACUGACACUGACGCUGAGGCGCGAAAGCCAGGGGAGCAAACGGGAUUAGAUACCCCGGUAGUCC
This 292-nucleotide ribosomal RNA is filed under the name uncultured bacterium. RNAcentral describes it as "partial 16S ribosomal RNA". It matches the Rfam family "Bacterial small subunit ribosomal RNA", at positions 505 to 796 of the family's 1533-position model. The record is from RNAcentral.